This 253-nucleotide ribosomal RNA is filed under the name uncultured bacterium. RNAcentral's name for it is "partial 16S ribosomal RNA". It matches the Rfam family "Bacterial small subunit ribosomal RNA", at positions 524 to 776 of the family's 1533-position model. The record is from RNAcentral.
UACGGAGGGUGCGAGCGUUAUUCGGAAUUAUUGGGCGUAAAGGGCGCGUAGGCGGCUGUACAAGUCAAAGGUGAAAUCCCUCGGCUCAACUGAGGAACUGCCUUUGAAACUGUACGGCUUGAGGCCGGGAGGGGGUAGCGGAAUUCCCAGUGUAGCGGUGAAAUGCGUAGAUACUGGGAGGAACACCAGUGGCGAAGGCGGCUACCUGGACCGGUUCUGACGCUGAGGCGCGAAAGCGUGGGUAGCAAACAGG